This is a non-coding RNA of Salmo salar (Atlantic salmon), 54 nucleotides long. The record is from Rfam. NCBI's taxonomy places the organism in Eukaryota, Metazoa, Chordata, Actinopteri, Salmoniformes, Salmonidae.
CCUAAUUUCUCCUGUAAGUCACUCUGGUUAAGAGUGUCUGCUAAAUGGCUUAAA